CAAACUGGAGAUGGCGACCGGCGCACGGGUGAGUAACACGUAUCCAACCUGCCGAUAACUCGGGGAUAGCCUUUCGAAAGAAAGAUUAAUACCCGAUGGCAUAAUAGAACCGCAUGGUUUGAUUAUUAAAGAAUUUCGGUUAUCGAUGGGGAUGCGUUCCAUUAGGCAGUUGGUGGGGUAACGGCCCACCAAACCUUCGAUGGAUAGGGGUUCUGAGAGGAAGGUCCCCCACAUUGGAACUGAGACACGGCCCAGACUCCUACGGGAGGCAGCAUG
This 276-nucleotide ribosomal RNA is filed under the name uncultured bacterium. RNAcentral describes it as "partial 16S ribosomal RNA". It matches the Rfam family "Bacterial small subunit ribosomal RNA", at positions 77 to 353 of the family's 1533-position model. The record is from RNAcentral.